Molecule: ribosomal RNA, 492 nt
Filed under: uncultured bacterium
Lineage: Bacteria
Description: partial 16S ribosomal RNA
Rfam family: Bacterial small subunit ribosomal RNA
Source: RNAcentral
AGUGAACGCUGGCGGUAGGCCUAACACAUGCAAGUCGAACGGCAGCACAGUAAGAGCUUGCUCUUACGGGUGGCGAGUGGCGGACGGGUGAGGAAUACAUCGGAAUCUACUUUUUCGUGGGGGAUAACGUAGGGAAACUUACGCUAAUACCGCAUACGACCUACGGGUGAAAGCAGGGGAUCUUCGGACCUUGCGCGAAUGAAUGUGCCGAUGUAGGAUUAGUUAGUUGGCGGGGUCAAGGCCCACCAAGGCGACGAUCCGUAGCUGGUCUGGGAGGAUGAUCGGCCACACUGGAACUGAAACACGAUCCAGACUCCUACGGGAGGCAGCAGUGGGGAAUAUUCGACAAUGGGCGCAAGCCUGAUCCAGCCAUACCGCGUGAGUGAAGAAGGCCUUCGGGUUGUAAAGCCCUUUUGUUGGGAAAGAAAAGCAGCAAGUUAAUACCCCGCUGUUCUGACGGUACCCAAAGAAUAAGCACCGGCUAACUUCGUG